CAGUAGCCACGGGAAUACGUAGGUGGCAAGCGUUGUCCGGAAUUAUUGGGCGUAAAGGGCUCGCAGGCGGUUUCUUAAGUCUGAUGUGAAAGCCCCCGGCUCAACCGGGGAGGGUCAUUGGAAACUGGGAAACUUGAGUGCAGAAGAGGAGAGUGGAAUUCCACGUGUAGCGGUGAAAUGCGUAGAGAUGUGGAGGAACACCAGUGGCGAAGGCGACUCUCUGGUCUGUAACUGAUGCUGAGGAGCGAAAGCGUGGGGAGCGAACAGGAUUAGAUACCCCCGUAGUCCCUGUCUCUUAUAC
RNAcentral lists this ribosomal RNA (301 nucleotides) under uncultured bacterium. Its description in RNAcentral is "partial 16S ribosomal RNA". It matches the Rfam family "Bacterial small subunit ribosomal RNA", at positions 509 to 807 of the family's 1533-position model. The record is from RNAcentral.